Elusimicrobia bacterium GWB2_63_22 is the source of this 71-nucleotide non-coding RNA. The record is from Rfam. Lineage: Bacteria; Pseudomonadati; Elusimicrobiota.
UUUCCUUGUAAUCGGGGGAAUUGGCCCCCGGGCAUCCACGACCGGACCUUAAUCCGGUGUAUCCAGGGAAA